This 379-nucleotide long non-coding RNA is filed under the name Prunus persica (peach). RNAcentral's name for it is "long non-coding RNA (PPER_LNC000423)". Lineage: Eukaryota; Viridiplantae; Streptophyta; Magnoliopsida; Rosales; Rosaceae. The record is from RNAcentral.
GGAAUGCAGUCACUAGAACUACUAAUUAUAGUGAUUAAAAAAGAGAAAUUCAGAGUAUUCAAUAGGUAUAGCCCCACGGCUAUACUGUUUUCACAAAAUAGGCGGGCCCUUUAUUUUUAUUUUUACAAAUAGUAUAGCCGCCCGGCCAUACUCCGAAUUAUUAUUAUUUUUAUAUAAAACGAGUAUAGCCGGGCGGCUGGCCUGGGGUCUUUUUUAAAUUCUGUUUUAUCAAUAGUAUAGCCGCACGGCUAUAGGCUUUACAUAGAUACUGUUUUUUUUUUUGGGUUGUUUUUCCCUGAUUUUUGUUUAUCGAUAAGAGUUUAGAGCAUUAUCCAUUACUAUUAGGCAAUUACCUGUAUUUCUAUUGUCUCCUUUCGAG